Molecule: non-coding RNA, 260 nt
Organism: Manis javanica (Malayan pangolin)
Lineage: Eukaryota; Metazoa; Chordata; Mammalia; Pholidota; Manidae
Source: RefSeq, a predicted model, not a curated record
UUCUUUCAGUUUAGGCACACCGCCGCAGCUGCACAAGACGCAAUGCUGAUCUCUAUCAGGCCAACAAUCAGAUUUUUAAUAUUCUUCUGUUGGCAUUGGAGUAUCAUUAGAAUGAGCUUCCAAACGAACUCAACCAAUGGCAAGGUUAAAGGUUCGAGAAGACGACGAAGAGAAAGCUCUUCCCUUACAGAUGAAGAAGAGAAUUCAGGACGAAAGACACUUAAGCUCCGGGAAGAAGAGGAAAACUCAGCAAAAUUCGG